Molecule: ribosomal RNA, 2921 nt
Filed under: Bacillus cereus
Lineage: Bacteria; Bacillati; Bacillota; Bacilli; Caryophanales; Bacillaceae
Description: 23S ribosomal RNA
Rfam family: Bacterial large subunit ribosomal RNA
Source: RNAcentral
GGUUAAGUUAGAAAGGGCGCACGGUGGAUGCCUUGACACUAGGAGUCGAUGAAGGACGGGACUAACGCCGAUAUGCUUCGGGGAGCUGUAAGUAAGCUUUGAUCCGAAGAUUUCCGAAUGGGGAAACCCACCAUACGUAAUGGUAUGGUAUCCUUAUCUGAAUACAUAGGGUAAGGAAGACAGACCCAGGGAACUGAAACAUCUAAGUACCUGGAGGAAGAGAAAGCAAAUGCGAUUUCCUGAGUAGCGGCGAGCGAAACGGAACAUAGCCCAAACCAAGAGGCUUGCCUCUUGGGGUUGUAGGACAUUCUAUACGGAGUUACAAAGGAACGAGGUAGACGAAGCGACCUGGAAAGGUCCGUCGUAGAGGGUAACAACCCCGUAGUCGAAACUUCGUUCUCUCUUGAAUGUAUCCUGAGUACGGCGGAACACGUGAAAUUCCGUCGGAAUCUGGGAGGACCAUCUCCCAAGGCUAAAUACUCCCUAGUGAUCGAUAGUGAACCAGUACCGUGAGGGAAAGGUGAAAAGCACCCCGGAAGGGGAGUGAAAGAGAUCCUGAAACCGUGUGCCUACAAAUAGUCAGAGCCCGUUAACGGGUGAUGGCGUGCCUUUUGUAGAAUGAACCGGCGAGUUACGAUCCCGUGCGAGGUUAAGCUGAAGAGGCGGAGCCGCAGCGAAAGCGAGUCUGAAUAGGGCGUUUAGUACGUGGUCGUAGACCCGAAACCAGGUGAUCUACCCAUGUCCAGGGUGAAGUUCAGGUAACACUGAAUGGAGGCCCGAACCCACGCACGUUGAAAAGUGCGGGGAUGAGGUGUGGGUAGCGGAGAAAUUCCAAUCGAACCUGGAGAUAGCUGGUUCUCCCCGAAAUAGCUUUAGGGCUAGCCUUAAGUGUAAGAGUCUUGGAGGUAGAGCACUGAUUGGACUAGGGGUCCUCAUCGGAUUACCGAAUUCAGUCAAACUCCGAAUGCCAAUGACUUAUCCUUAGGAGUCAGACUGCGAGUGAUAAGAUCCGUAGUCAAAAGGGAAACAGCCCAGACCGCCAGCUAAGGUCCCAAAGUGUGUAUUAAGUGGAAAAGGAUGUGGAGUUGCUUAGACAACUAGGAUGUUGGCUUAGAAGCAGCCACCAUUUAAAGAGUGCGUAAUAGCUCACUAGUCGAGUGACUCUGCGCCGAAAAUGUACCGGGGCUAAAUACACCACCGAAGCUGCGGAUUGAUACCGAAUGGUAUCAGUGGUAGGGGAGCGUUCUAAGGACAGUGAAGUCAGACCGGAAGGACUGGUGGAGUGCUUAGAAGUGAGAAUGCCGGUAUGAGUAGCGAAAGACGGGUGAGAAUCCCGUCCACCGAAUGCCUAAGGUUUCCUGAGGAAGGCUCGUCCGCUCAGGGUUAGUCAGGACCUAAGCCGAGGCCGACAGGCGUAGGCGAUGGACAACAGGUUGAUAUUCCUGUACCACCUCUUUAUCGUUUGAGCAAUGGAGGGACGCAGAAGGAUAGAAGAAGCGUGCGAUUGGUUGUGCACGUCCAAGCAGUUAGGCUGAUAAGUAGGCAAAUCCGCUUAUCGUGAAGGCUGAGCUGUGAUGGGGAAGCUCCUUAUGGAGCGAAGUCUUUGAUUCCCCGCUGCCAAGAAAAGCUUCUAGCGAGAUAAAAGGUGCCUGUACCGCAAACCGACACAGGUAGGCGAGGAGAGAAUCCUAAGGUGUGCGAGAGAACUCUGGUUAAGGAACUCGGCAAAAUGACCCCGUAACUUCGGGAGAAGGGGUGCUUUCUUAACGGAAAGCCGCAGUGAAUAGGCCCAAGCGACUGUUUAGCAAAACACAGCUCUCUGCGAAGCCGUAAGGCGAAGUAUAGGGGGUGACACCUGCCCGGUGCUGGAAGGUUAAGGAGAGGGGUUAGCGUAAGCGAAGCUCUGAACUGAAGCCCCAGUAAACGGCGGCCGUAACUAUAACGGUCCUAAGGUAGCGAAAUUCCUUGUCGGGUAAGUUCCGACCCGCACGAAAGGUGUAACGAUUUGGGCACUGUCUCAACCAGAGACUCGGUGAAAUUAUAGUACCUGUGAAGAUGCAGGUUACCCGCGACAGGACGGAAAGACCCCGUGGAGCUUUACUGUAGCCUGAUAUUGAAUUUUGGUACAGUUUGUACAGGAUAGGCGGGAGCCUUUGAAACCGGAGCGCUAGCUUCGGUGGAGGCGCUGGUGGGAUACCGCCCUGACUGUAUUGAAAUUCUAACCUACGGGUCUUAUCGACCCGGGAGACAGUGUCAGGUGGGCAGUUUGACUGGGGCGGUCGCCUCCUAAAGUGUAACGGAGGCGCCCAAAGGUUCCCUCAGAAUGGUUGGAAAUCAUUCGUAGAGUGCAAAGGCAUAAGGGAGCUUGACUGCGAGACCUACAAGUCGAGCAGGGACGAAAGUCGGGCUUAGUGAUCCGGUGGUUCCGCAUGGAAGGGCCAUCGCUCAACGGAUAAAAGCUACCCCGGGGAUAACAGGCUUAUCUCCCCAAGAGUCCACAUCGACGGGGAGGUUUGGCACCUCGAUGUCGGCUCAUCGCAUCCUGGGGCUGUAGUCGGUCCCAAGGGUUGGGCUGUUCGCCCAUUAAAGCGGUACGCGAGCUGGGUUCAGAACGUCGUGAGACAGUUCGGUCCCUAUCCGUCGUGGGCGUAGGAAAUUUGAGAGGAGCUGUCCUUAGUACGAGAGGACCGGGAUGGACGCACCGCUGGUGUACCAGUUGUUCUGCCAAGGGCAUAGCUGGGUAGCUAUGUGCGGAAGGGAUAAGUGCUGAAAGCAUCUAAGCAUGAAGCCCCCCUCAAGAUGAGAUUUCCCAUAGCGUAAGCUAGUAAGAUCCCUGAAAGAUGAUCAGGUUGAUAGGUUCGAGGUGGAAGCAUGGUGACAUGUGGAGCUGACGAAUACUAAUAGAUCGAGGACUUAACCAU